Triplophysa dalaica is the source of this 1975-nucleotide long non-coding RNA. RefSeq lists it as uncharacterized. The transcript has 4 exons. NCBI's taxonomy places the organism in Eukaryota, Metazoa, Chordata, Actinopteri, Cypriniformes, Nemacheilidae. The record is from RefSeq and is a predicted model, not a curated record.
CGACUGACAGGGCCUCGAGAGGAGGUCGGCACUGACAAGCUCUGAGGUAUGAAACAUGAAGUUUGUUGCUGUUGUUUGGUGAAAAGCUUAUCAAUCUGGGGUCUGUCUGCUAGAAAACGACUACAAAACUGGACAGAGAAAAGACAAGGUUACAGCCACAAAGGCUGUGCGGUUUGUGCACCUCGCUCCCAAUGACUAAUGCACGAGCGGCCGCCCACAGAGAAUCGGCGUAGAUGAGAGCGCCGCUCCACUUUAACAGCAUGUCACGUGUUUGAAGAGUGUUGUGCUGUGGCUCAAAUGCAGAAGAGUCCGUGUGUACCGGUGCCGGUCGGCCUCUGGAGGAGGGUGAUGAUGGUACACACAACAUGAUGGUAAUAACAGCACGCUCCACAACCGCAGCCAGCCCGUGUUUGCCCAAAGGGACUGGACGUAAGCACUAUCCAAAUGUCAGGGUCACAUGCUCGGGAUGGACCGAGAUUGAGCUGGCAGCAAGCCUGGGGAGAGAGAAAAAGAGAGAGAGUGGAUCAACAGAGGUGGUUACUGGAGGGAUCAGCUGGUAGAAAUAUGAUCAUUUUAUUUGUUAUGUUCAAAGCCUGCUUAAUUCAACUGUCAAGGAAGUAUGAUGUUUACAUUCAAGACACAGUUCACCCAAGUAUGAAAAUGUAUUCGCCCACUAUUCACAAAGACGCAUUAUACAUGUGAAUGCAUGUUAUGUAGUGGAAGUGUAAACUAAAGCUCAGCUUUGAGAAUUAUUAAAGGAGGACUUUCAGAAAAUAACACAUUCAACAAAUCUUAUUUAGUGAAGGGCUAUAAAAUAUUUCGACAAGACUGGAUCAAUAGAUAUUAAUAACAGAUUGUAGUGUUCAUUAACUUUAUUUUAGUUUUAGAUUUAUUUUCUAUGCGCUUCAUUUUUAUAUAUCGGCAUGAUAUUGCUCUUUUUUAUUUCCUCUAAAUAAUUUCUAUAAGUUUAGUGAUUUAUUCAUUUAAUCUAAUGUGAUAUUGUGAUAUUUUAUACACUACCAGUCAAAGGGUAAAACAUUUUUAAACUUUUGCUUAAAUGACUGAAAUGUAAUAUCAUUUUCCUGAUAUUCAUGUUUUUUUUUCACGACAAAAAUUAUAUUUUAUUUAAUAAAAAAUGUUUUAGAUAUGGAUAACUUUGACCGAAUGAUGAAGACAGUGCAGCCAAUAAUAACACAAAAAAGAGGGGAACUCUUUAUGUAAAAAAACAUCUCAGGGCGAAACCUCAAGAAGGUGCUUGAGAAAAUGACAAGAAAACAUUUCUGCAAAUUCUAGUCAAAAGGUGAUCAAAUAUAAUGUGUUUUAAUAUUUUUGUUACAACAUAAUUCCCAUAGUUCCCUAUGUUUUAAUUCACAAAUAAAACAUUAUUUUUCAUCAAGUUCAUUAUUAUUCUAGAAUAUGAACACAUAAGUGAGUAAGUGUCCAAAAACGUUUGACCGGUGGUGUAUAUAUUACACAUGAAUGUAUUGUUACUCAAAAAUUUCACUUGAAGGAACAGUUCCCCAAAAAUUCUGUCUUCAUUUACUCACCCUCAAGUUCCAAAUCUGUAUCCAUUUCUUUUUUCUGUUAAACACAAUGAAAGAUAUUUGGAAGAAUGUUUAUAACCAAACAGUUCUCAGCCACCACAGACUACCAGCAGAAAAAAUGCUUUAUCUAUUUCUUUGUUUGGUUGAACAAAAAUACAUUUUGAAGAAUGUAGGAAAGCAAACUUUUGACUACCAUUGUCAUUUUUCCUUCUAUGACAGUCAAUGGUGGCCAAGAACAAUAUAACGGGUUUCAUAUUGUUUUGGUAACAAUAUAAAAUGCAUUUGGAGUGGAGUAAAAAGAUUCUUUAGACGUAACAUUUUUCCAAAGUUAAAACAUGCUUAGAAAGUACAGAGACUUCAAAAAAGUACUUUAAAAAGAAUCUUCUGGGUUUGCUAAAUAGUCCGUUUAGAUUCUCUAGGAGUCUCUGCUU